Molecule: transfer RNA, 72 nt
Filed under: Heterocephalus glaber (naked mole-rat)
Lineage: Eukaryota; Metazoa; Chordata; Mammalia; Rodentia; Bathyergidae
Rfam family: tRNA
About the family: Transfer RNA (tRNA) molecules are approximately 80 nucleotides in length. Their secondary structure includes four short double-helical elements and three loops (D, anti-codon, and T loops).
Source: Rfam by way of RNAcentral
UGGGAUGUAGCUCAGUGGUAGAGUAUUUAUCUAGUAUGUACAAGGCCCCAAAUUUAAUUCUUAGUACUCCAA